Molecule: unclassified non-coding RNA, 308 nt
Filed under: uncultured Chlamydomonadales
Lineage: Eukaryota; Viridiplantae; Chlorophyta; Chlorophyceae; Chlamydomonadales
Description: sequence contains 5.8S rRNA gene, ITS2, 28S rRNA gene
Source: RNAcentral
AACGCAUAUUGCGCUCGAGGCUUCGGCCAAGAGCAUGUCUGCCUCAGCGUCGCUUUAAUUCCUCACAAUCCAAUCCUCUGAUUGGGAAUGUGGAACUGGCUUUCUCAGUUGGCUCUUAGCGAGUCGGCUGGGUCUGCUGAAGAGCAGAGGUUGAUGCAUGGACCCGUCAUGGGCCUCAGCUGGGUAGGCAAUUUCAUUGCUCAAUGCUUUAGCUGUUGGCUUGGGACUGUGCUUGUUGGCCAGAACCAGGAAAAAUUUACUCUUCAAACUUCGACCUGAGCUCAGGCAAGAACACCCGCUGAACUUAA